UGCGCGUCGACAAAAUUAACAAAAAUAUUUUUUUCUAAGAAACAUCAUAAAACUAUUUAGUUAAAAUUGGCUAAAAAUACUACCAAUAAAUAUUUAUGCAAAAUAAAUACAACCACAAGUAAAAAAACAUAUACUAAUAAAAAUGAUAAUUUAACAGAUUUAAAUACAUUUCGACAAAAAAAAAGAUUUAAAAACAUAAACAGCAUGUAGUAAUUGUAAAGUACUAAUAACUAAUAACAUUACUAAUUAUUGUAUAAUUUAUUUUGUAAAAGAAAAAAAUAAAAGAACACCCCUUGUGAAAUGAAAAAAAAAACAUUAAAUGUGAUAAUUUUUUUCUCAUUGACUUCGGACUGAUUUAAACUUAAUAGAAAAGAAAAAUAAUAUUUAUAGCGAAAUGGCGACAAUUUGGACUAUUUUCUGCGACAGUUUCUUUUCUCUCUCUACGAGCGGUUGUCCA
Molecule: long non-coding RNA, 457 nt
Filed under: Brassica rapa (field mustard)
Lineage: Eukaryota; Viridiplantae; Streptophyta; Magnoliopsida; Brassicales; Brassicaceae
Description: long non-coding RNA (BRAP_LNC007750)
Source: RNAcentral